GCGUGUGUGAAGAAGGCCUGCGGGUUGUAAAGCACUUUCGGUAGGAAAGAAAAGACCGACGCUAAUACCGGCGGUUCUUGACGUUACCUACAGAAGAAGCACCGGCUAAUUCCGUGCCAGCAGCCGCGGUAAUACGGAAGGUGCAAGCGUUAAUCGGAAUUACUGGGCGUAAAGCGCGCGUAGGCGGUCCGGUAAGUCGGGUGUGAAAGCCCUGGGCUCAACCUGGGAAUUGCAUUCGAUACUGUCGGGCUAGAGUGUGGUAGAGGGGGGUGGAAUUCCAGGUGUAGCGGUGAAAUGCGU
RNAcentral lists this ribosomal RNA (300 nucleotides) under uncultured bacterium. RNAcentral describes it as "bacterial SSU rRNA". It matches the Rfam family "Bacterial small subunit ribosomal RNA", at positions 399 to 691 of the family's 1533-position model. The record is from RNAcentral.